GCUCAGUAACACGUGGUAACCUGCCCUAGGACGAGAAUAACCCGGGAAACUGGGGCUAAUGCUCGAUAGGUGAAGAACUCUGGAAUGAGUCUUCACUAAAAGAGUCUGCGUUAUGCUCGUAGAUUUCGCUUAAGGAUGGGGCCGCGACCGAUCAGGUUGUUGGUGAGGUAAUGGCUCACCAAGCCUUUUACCGGUGCGGGCCGUGAGAGCGGGAGCCCGGAGAUGGGCACUGAGACAAGGGCCCAGGCCUACGGGGCGCAGCAGUCGCGAAAACUUUGCAAUACACGAAAGUGUGACAGGGCUAUCCCGAGUGCCAUCCGCUGAGGAAGGCUUUUACCCAGUCUAGAAAGCUGGGGGAAUAAGGCGAGGGCAAGUCUGGUGUCAGCCGCCGCGGUAAUACCAGCUCUCCGAGUGGUGUGGAUGUUUAUUGGGCCUAAAGCAUCCGUAGCUGGCUAAGUUAGUCCCCUGUUAAAUCCAACGAAUUAAUCGUUGGAUCGCGGGGGAUACUGCUUGGCUAGGGGACGAGAGAGGCAGACGGUAUUUCCGGGGUAGGGGUGAAAUCCUAUAAUCCCGGGAAGACCACCAGUGGCGAAGGCUGUCUGCUAGAACGCGCCCGACGGUGAGGGAUGAAAGCUGGGGGAGCGAACCGGAUUAGAUACCCGGGUAGUCCCAGCUGUAAACGAUGCAGGCUAGGUGUUUGGACGGCCACGUGCCGUUCUAGUGCCGCAGGGAAGCUGUUAAGCCUGCCGCCUGGGGAGUACGAUCGCAAGAUUGAAACUUAAAGGAAUUGGCGGGGGAGCACCACAAGGGGUGAAGCUUGCGGUUUAAUUGGAGUCAACGCCGGG
RNAcentral lists this ribosomal RNA (845 nucleotides) under uncultured archaeon. Its description in RNAcentral is "bacterial SSU rRNA". It matches the Rfam family "Archaeal small subunit ribosomal RNA", at positions 88 to 922 of the family's 1478-position model. The record is from RNAcentral.